Panicum virgatum (switchgrass) is the source of this 526-nucleotide long non-coding RNA. RefSeq lists it as uncharacterized. The transcript has 2 exons. Lineage: Eukaryota; Viridiplantae; Streptophyta; Magnoliopsida; Poales; Poaceae. The record is from RefSeq and is a predicted model, not a curated record.
UGCCGGCCGCCGGCCGCCGAUGGCGUAGAUGCGAGUGCCAGCGAUGCAGCGAUGCCACUGCUGGUUGGGGUGAAGACGCCGAGGGCGUUGGCGAGGCCGCCGAUGGUGGGGAUGCGGCUCCGGCGAGAAUGUCGCCGAUGUUGUUGGUGGUGCGACCGUAAGGCGAGGCACCCAUGAUUGCAAAGAAACAGCGUCUUCUUUGCGAGAAUCUUUUCCUCGUGGUUCUGGCGAGAUGUCGAAUUGCUUCAUCUUAGCGAGUUCUGUUUGCAUUGCCCAAAGAUGAACUCGUCAAGUUCUUCCCGGCGAGUGUGCUUUCUUCUUUCUGGAACUUGGCGAGUUCUGUUCUGGUGUUCUUGCCAUGGUAGUUCUCGUCGAGUUGUCGCCGAGUCUCUGGUUCCUCAUCGAGUUCUCUUGUCUCGGCGAUUGGACGAUCGCUCAAUGGAGAGCAAAGUGCAUGAUAACGUGUUAGAAAUGAGAGUGAAUGGAAUGAUUGAUUGUCUCGUUGAUUGAUAGAGAUUACUGUUUA